CAGCAGCCGCGGUAAUACGAAGGGUGCAAGCGUUACUCGGAAUUACUGGGCGUAAAGCGUGCGUAGGUGGUGGUUUAAGUCCGUUGUGAAAGCCCUGGGCUCAACCUGGGAAUUGCAGUGGAUACUGGGUCACUAGAGUGUGGUAGAGGAUAGUGGAAUUUCCGGUGUAGCAGUGAAAUGCGUAGAGAUCUGGAGGAAUACCGGUGGCGAAGGCGGCCCCCUGGACAAAGACUGACGCUCAGGUGCGAAAGCGUGGGGAGCAAACAGGAUUAGAUACCCCCGUAGUCCCUGUCUCUUAUAC
RNAcentral lists this ribosomal RNA (301 nucleotides) under uncultured bacterium. RNAcentral's name for it is "partial 16S ribosomal RNA". It matches the Rfam family "Bacterial small subunit ribosomal RNA", at positions 509 to 807 of the family's 1533-position model. The record is from RNAcentral.